UAGGUAACGGUAGUGGGUGGAUAAGAAAUGAACUAGCCAGCUGUGACAGUAGGUUGGACAAGAAACAUUUUACUAAAUGCACUGGAAUGAAAAACGACGAACCCUAUAGAAGACAGCUAUUUGAAAAGUCUGCUUCUACAGAGGGUACUGCCAGAGCGCCUUCAGCACCCUGGACAGUGGCCACCGCACGUGCUCUCCGACCUACGCUAGAUCUAGCUCUCCUGCUAAGGAACCUCCCCUGCUUGCUCACCUAGGCAACACUGGAACACUUUUUCAAAGGGUUAUGUGUGAUCACAUAUCCCCAAUAUGAUCGAACAUAAAAGAACAGGUGGUUGUGAAGACCUGAUCAAAGUUGAGGAUUUUGGUGGACAGCAUUCACUUUACAAUUGAAUAACUGAAAUUCCAAGUCUGCAUGCAGCAUUGACUCAUUGAAAGGCUUGGAUAAGAGAAUCCUACAACCUCGGGACAUUGUGGAGUAACUUUGUGGACGUUGUGAAGGAACUCAUCGCAGAAAACAUCCUGCAUUACAAAGCAGCGGAUCACCGACAACAUGGACGUCGUGAAAAGUUUGAACUUAACAGACAAAGCAGGACAUUUGAUCAAAAUCCUUAUUAAUGAUGAGGAUAUUCUCUAUAAGGAAUAUAAGCCUCCUCCUAGGGACAUUAUCCAGCUGCCUAAAUCCAUGCUAUAUCUGCUGAUGGCAGCUGUCGUGGUGGUGGCUGUGGCUUACGCUAUCGUCGGUCACCUCAUCAAGGACCUGGCCCUGGACAUAGCAGACUGCCUGCUGGGUCCCGUGGAGCCUGAUCCCCUGAAGGAUGGUGACCUGAAGCCCUGCGGUCCUUCCCACAUGCCCCCCAUCAUGACCAACUCCCACCACAACGCCUUCCACGUCUGGGACACAGACAACAUCAUCAUCCCCAUGACCCCCAUCGAGGGGAGCCCUCUGGCCAGCCCGCUGCUGAAUGUCAUAACCCACAUACCCUCCUUCUUCCCGCACUCGCUCAGCGUCAACAGCCCUGCCUUGAGCCAUUCCCUACAUGGCCGAGAGAUGAGAGAGUCGGACGCCUAAGGCCGACCACUGGAGGCCGGUAGCCAAGCGGUAUGAGCUUUGGGCCAGUAACCGAAAUGUUGCUAGUAAUGGCCAACUCUGGCCUUGCCCCCAUUCUCCGAGGGUGUCUCAGGGAAAGUGGGAUAUGCAAAAUCACAUUUUCCAAUUCACACACUUGUACAUGUGCGAAUUAGGACAAAUAUUAGCACCCACCCACAAGAUACGGUGAAAUAGCCACAGAGAGAGCAAGAGGCCUAGGGACCACCCAUGGGAUGAUGCAAUAAGUACUUUAUCAAAGGUGACCCACCUGCUCUAAAGAUGGAGGAUUGUUUAGCAUGAGUGUCUUGUCUAAAAUCAUCUGAAGCCAUUCAAGGCACAGUGCAAUAACACUCAUUUUAUUGGUUCUUUUGAGGACAGUAGGCUUACAGUCAGAAAGGUACAUUUUAAUCCAGUACUGGUAAACCAUAUUUAGUUAGCUAUUCCAUUAGCGGUUAUUCUGGUGUUCAUCUUAAUUUGAUUCAUAUGGCUCAUGUCAUUUCCAGUACCAAACCUGUAGCAUUCGAGCAGAUCUCUAUGCAGUACCAACCCUGUAGCAUGCUAGCAGAUCCCCAUAGACUUCCAGUCAUUGCGCUAACUCUUGUUAGCAUUGGCUUGUGAAACUACCUCUAACUUCCUUCAUACUCUUACUGGACACAGACAUAAAAGUGGUAUCCACAAGUUCAUCUAACUCGGGGGAAGUAGAUAAAGGGCCUCAUUGCCAAAAUCCCGAAGUAUAACCGUACCAAACUUUCUUGUUUAGCCUCAACACAUUCCAUCCCAAAAUGUCAGAGGAACAAAAGAAAUACUUUUGAAUGUUUUGGGCACAUCAUUGUGUAUUCACCAGGUGAAAAGAAAAUCACGGGACAUCAUAGGACUGCACACAAUCGAUUGACGGUUUUAUGACGCUUUUGUAAUUUCACCAACUUGGUUGGAGAGUUAUAGAUAUCGGCCAAGCUUAAUGUAUUUGGAUGGACCUUUUCUGGAGUUGGCCCAAGUGGACAUAUUCUUCACAUCUUUCCAAUCAAGGAAACCCCAGUUGAACAUGCAGAGAUACUGCCUCACUUGGCCAGGUUUCCCUUGGCAAAGAGGUCUUCUGACCUCAAUGGGACCAUCUGAUUAACAAAAGGUGAAACUAAAGGGGUUCUGAUUUAAAACCAAAGUUGGUGGGAGCAGUGCAAUGAUGGAAAGGGAGUGAUGGAAGCGUUACCUAUCAUCCCUCUUUAAAGCUUGAAGGGAUAGCUUCAGAUUGACUGGCUGUUGUGUAUUAAUGGCCAUGGGACAAGGAGAGGGAUGCCGGACUUCCCCUGUGAACUUUCCAUCGGAUUUGUGACAAGUCACCACACUUCCUUCCUCUCUUUGACACCAACAGACUAGUGACUUUUCCUCCUCGAGCAUUUAAACAUUAAAACUACCAAUAAACACACAGAAA
Molecule: long non-coding RNA, 2516 nt
Organism: Oncorhynchus tshawytscha (Chinook salmon)
Lineage: Eukaryota; Metazoa; Chordata; Actinopteri; Salmoniformes; Salmonidae
Source: Ensembl